This 300-nucleotide ribosomal RNA is filed under the name uncultured Halobellus sp. RNAcentral describes it as "partial 16S ribosomal RNA". It matches the Rfam family "Bacterial small subunit ribosomal RNA", at positions 496 to 795 of the family's 1533-position model. Lineage: Archaea; Methanobacteriati; Methanobacteriota; Halobacteria; Halobacteriales; Haloferacaceae. The record is from RNAcentral.
GUCAAGAGAGGGCCGGCGGCGCAGGUAGUGCGUGUGGGGCAAGCGUAAAUCGGAAUUAAUGGGCGGUGAUCGUGGUCAGGCGGUUAUAUAAGACAGAUGUUAAAUCCCCGGGCUCAACCUGGGAACGGCAUUUGUGACUGUAUAGCUAGAGUACGGCAGAGGGGGAUGGAAUUCCGCGUGUAGCAGUGAAAUGCGUAGAUAUGCGGAGGAACACCGAUGGCGAAGGCAAUCCCCUGGGCCUGUACUGACGCUCAUGCACGAAAGCGUGGGGAGCAAACAGGAUUAGAUACCCUAGUAGUC